This 46-nucleotide non-coding RNA is filed under the name Schistosoma mansoni. Lineage: Eukaryota; Metazoa; Platyhelminthes; Trematoda; Strigeidida; Schistosomatidae. The record is from RNAcentral.
CUGCUACUGAGGAGUCCCACAAUAGGACGAAACGGCCGUUCAGUGC